This 253-nucleotide ribosomal RNA is filed under the name uncultured bacterium. RNAcentral's name for it is "partial 16S ribosomal RNA". It matches the Rfam family "Bacterial small subunit ribosomal RNA", at positions 524 to 776 of the family's 1533-position model. The record is from RNAcentral.
UACGUAGGGUGCGAGCGUUAAUCGGAAUUACUGGGCGUAAAGCGUGCGCAGGCGGUUCGUUAAGUCAGCUGUGAAAGCCCCGGGCUCAACCUGGGAAUUGCGGUUGAAACUGGCGGACUAGAAUCUGGCAGAGGGGGGUGGAAUUCCACGUGUAGCAGUGAAAUGCGUAGAGAUGCGGAGGAACACCGAUGGCGAAGGCAGCCCCCUGGGCUGAGAUUGACGCUCAGGCACGAAAGCGUGGGGAGCAAACAGG